GCGGGUGUAGUUCAAUGGCAGAACGGCAGCUUCCCAAGCUUCAUACGAGGGUUCGAUUCCCUUCACCCGCUCCA
RNAcentral lists this transfer RNA (74 nucleotides) under Leptothrix discophora. RNAcentral's name for it is "tRNA-Gly". It matches the Rfam family "tRNA". Rfam says of the family: Transfer RNA (tRNA) molecules are approximately 80 nucleotides in length. RNAcentral also lists the same sequence under 183 other names. Lineage: Bacteria; Pseudomonadati; Pseudomonadota; Betaproteobacteria; Burkholderiales; Sphaerotilaceae. The record is from RNAcentral.